Molecule: ribosomal RNA, 116 nt
Filed under: Saimiri boliviensis boliviensis (Bolivian squirrel monkey)
Lineage: Eukaryota; Metazoa; Chordata; Mammalia; Primates; Cebidae
Source: RNAcentral
ACAAUGAUCCAUACCACCCUGAAUGCACCUGAUCUCAUCUGAUCUUGGAAGCUAAGCAGGGUCUGGCCUGGUUAGUACUUGGAUGGGAGACCAUAAAUAUUUUGCAGUGCUUUAAA